Molecule: ribosomal RNA, 1428 nt
Filed under: Macroglossus sobrinus
Lineage: Eukaryota; Metazoa; Chordata; Mammalia; Chiroptera; Pteropodidae
Description: partial 16S ribosomal RNA
Rfam family: Bacterial large subunit ribosomal RNA
Source: RNAcentral
AACAAAUGCUAGCCCAAACAACACAAUAAACCCAAUAAUAAUAUAUUCUAUAAAACAAAACAUUUACCCAAUCAAAAGUAUAGGAGAUAGAAAUUUUAACACGGCGCUAUAGAGAGAAGUACCGCAAGGGAAAGAUGAAAGAUAAAUUAAAAGUAUAAAACAGCAAAGAUAAACCCUUGUACCUUUUGCAUAAUGAAUUAACCAGAAGAAUUUGACAAAGAGGACUUAAGCCAAACACCCCGAAACCAGACGAGCUACCUAGUAGCAGCCACACGGGCGAACUCGUCUAUGUAGCAAAAUAGUGAGAAGACUCCUAGGUAGAGGUGAAAAGCCUAUCGAGCCUGGUGAUAGCUGGUCGUCCAGAAUAGAAUUUUAGUUCAAUUUUAAGUUCUACCCAAAAACCCUAAUAAUUCUCCUGUAGACUUAAAAUAUAAUCUAACAGGGUACAGCCUUUUAGAAAUAGGAUAAAACCUUAACUAGAGAGUAAGCAUAUAUGUAUUUACAUAGUUGGCCUAAAAGCAGCCACCAAUUAAGAAAGCGUUCAAGCUCAAUAUGCCCCAUAUACCUUAAUACAAAAAAUUGCACACGAACUCCUAGACCAACACUGGAUUACUCUAUUAAAAAAUAGAGGAAAUACUGUUAAUAUGAGUAACAAGAACUAACUUCUCCAAGCACAAGUUUAUAUUAGAACGGAUAACCCACUGAUAGUUAACAACAAAAUAAUUAUAUACUACAGCUUAAAAUCUUAUUAAACUAAUUGUUAACCCAACACAGGAGUGCAUCCAAGGAAAGAUUAAAAUAAGUGAAAGGAACUCGGCAAAUAACAAACCCCGCCUGUUUACCAAAAACAUCACCUCUAGCAUACCAAUUAUUAGAGGCACUGCCUGCCCAGUGACAUUAGUUCAACGGCCGCGGUAUCCUGACCGUGCAAAGGUAGCAUAAUCAUUUGUUCCUUAAAUAGGGACUUGCAUGAAUGGCUACACGAGGGUUUUACUGUCUCUCACUUACAAUCAGUGAAAUUGACCUUCCCGUGAAGAGGCGGGAAUUCAAAAAUAAGACGAGAAGACCCUAUGGAGCUUUAAUUAAUUAACUCACAAACAAAUACUUAAUGUUCUCAGGAACACAAAACACUUCAGAUGAGUUAACAAUUUAGGUUGGGGUGACCUCGGAAUACAAAACAACUUCCGAGUGAUAAAGUAAAGACAAACAAGUCAAAACAUUACAUCAUUUAUUGAUCCAAUAAAAUUGAUCAACGGAACAAGUUACCCUAGGGAUAACAGCGCAAUCCUGUUUGAGAGUCCAUAUCGACAACAGGGUUUACGACCUCGAUGUUGGAUCAGGACAUCCCAAUGGUGCAGCCGCUAUUAAAGGUUCGUUUGUUCAACGAUUAAAGUCCUACGUGAUCUGAGUUCAGACCGGAGUAAUCCA